Long non-coding RNA from Hemicordylus capensis (graceful crag lizard), 1321 nucleotides. RefSeq lists it as uncharacterized. Lineage: Eukaryota; Metazoa; Chordata; Lepidosauria; Squamata; Cordylidae. The transcript is spliced from 5 exons. The record is from RefSeq and is a predicted model, not a curated record.
CGGCAGGACCCGGCAGCCAUGUUGGGGCCGGGAGAAGGAGAAGUGGCCGCCGCCUACGCCAGGAGGAGAGUGCGGGAGAGGCAGCUGCGCAGCCGUGGCCACGGCCAGAGGUGGCGGUGGCCGCGACGGGGCAACUGGCGGCGGGAGUGCGGGGACAAACAAAGCUGAACAAAAGAGUCCUCAAGGUCGAGUACCCCUUAUCCAGACAUCUUGGGACCAGCAGUGUUCUGGAUUUCAGGCUUUUCCACAUUUGGGAAUCUUCUAUAUACAGGCAUAUAAUUCUGAUAGACAGGGUUCUGGAAUGUGAGGAGGAACUCUCGCAAGAGCUCACGACAGUUCCAGCGGCGAGAAAUAAUGGCAGCGGCGAGGAGGUGGACAGCUGAAGAGGCGAGUGGAGGAGGCGGGAGGCGCCAGCAGGACAGCCCGGCCUGGCCGUGAGGGAGGCGGCGGGACGGCCCUGGACCUGAGCGAGGCGGCUUGACUGCAUUUUUAAACUAUGCCCACCUGUGCCGCCCUGUGCUGUGUGCCAGCCUCUGCUGCCACUGGUCUCUUUUUUGUCCUGGCUUCCUUCGACCAGUGUGUGGGGCAGAAGAUACUGGAAGAAGAGGGAGCAACUGGUUGAGAAGAAUCCAGUGGACCAGAGCUCUGCUUGAAUCGUGAAAGAGGUGGAUGAGCCACUGCCCAAACAGAUGUCUGCUCUAGAUAUAGCUCGAGAAGGAAUCGGAAGGAAUUUCCCCCAAGACCUGUGACCACUAUACGUGAGGGAGAGCAAAAGAGACAAUGUUCCAAUCUUCCAGAGCUUUCUAGAAGAUCUCAAUAGGAUAAUUUCUAUUUCAUUUCCUCUCAUCAAAAAUGAAAACUAAAUGGCUAACAAAAGUUUCUAGAAAAUUCCAUUUGUAGGCAAACACAGGCAAAUUCCCAUGCAUGGAACUGCACAGAACGAUGAUGAUGAUUAUUUAAACUACAUAGUUUACAUGGAUGUAGUACUUAUGUACACUAUGUAAUACUUGAGUAGUGCACUCAGAUACAAACUAGAAAAAGCUCAGCAAUAAAAUUCCACAAAUUGCAACAAGAAUAGUUUCAUUCAGAUGUUAAUUUUAAGGAUGGUGUACUCCACACCAUACCAAAUGGAAAUAGAUGUCCCGCCCUGCCUCUGCUGUCCGUCAUUCCUCCUCACUCCUUGUCCUAGGGUGCUCACACUUACGAAGGCUGUAAGUGUGAUGGCGAGAUGCAGGCAUCCAAGUCUCCCAAUCACGUAAGCACCCACCAUCAUGCUUAUGGCCUUUGCCUCUUCAGACAAAGGCUGUAAGCCUCUGUAAGC